Molecule: ribosomal RNA, 539 nt
Filed under: uncultured bacterium
Lineage: Bacteria
Description: partial 16S ribosomal RNA
Rfam family: Bacterial small subunit ribosomal RNA
Source: RNAcentral
UGGGGAAUAUUGGACAAUGGGCGCAAGCCUGAUCCAGCAAUGCCGCGUGUGUGAAGAAGGCCUUCGGGUUGUAAAGCACUUUUAUCAGGAGCGAAACGCUGUCGGCUAAUACCCGGCGGAACUGACGGUACCUGAGGAAUAAGCACCGGCUAACUUCGUGCCAGCAGCCGCGGUAAUACGAAGGGUGCAAGCGUUAAUCGGAAUUACUGGGCGUAAAGCGUGCGUAGGCGGUUUCUUAAGUCUGCUGUGAAAUCCCCGGGCUCAACCUGGGAAUGGCAGUGGAUACUUGGAGGCUAGAGUGUGUCAGAGGGUGGUGGAAUUCCCGGUGUAGCGGUGAAAUGCGUAGAGAUCGGGAGGAACAUCAGUGGCGAAGGCGGCCACCUGGGACAACACUGACGCUGAGGCACGAAAGCGUGGGGAGCAAACAGGAUUAGAUACCCUGGUAGUCCACGCCCUAAACGAUGCGAACUGGAUGUUGGUCUCAACUCGGAGAUCAGUGUCGAAGCUAACGCGUUAAGUUCGCCGCCUGGGGAGUACGG